This is a non-coding RNA of Coturnix japonica (Japanese quail), 469 nucleotides long. The record is from RefSeq and is a predicted model, not a curated record. NCBI's taxonomy places the organism in Eukaryota, Metazoa, Chordata, Aves, Galliformes, Phasianidae.
GCUCCCAGAAGGGGUGGAGCUUGACUCCACCUCCUCUAGACCUCAUUUAAGGGCUGACCACCACUAAGGCAGCAUCUCUCUUGGAGGUUGCUCCCUGGUGAAGAUUGCCUCAGCAUUUCCUAGUGAAGGCAUCCAUAUUGCACAACUGGAAGGAGUGCUGCACACAAGCAACCCAGGUACUGCAAGAACAAACUGAAGCUAAGGCAGCGUGCAGUCUCUGAGCCUCGAUCCUACUGCCUUGCUUGACAGAGCCUCAAACUGUCAGGGGUCUCUGACAGGAGGAAGGAUAUGCAGCUGUUCAGGACAAGGAAGCAUACAGUUUCAUCAGCAGGGUGCUGGUUACCAAACUGCAGCCUGAAGUGGCCAUCAUAAAAGGAAGACACUGCAACCAGACUGCAGAACCCAAUUGUCCGUCAUGCAUUUGCAAUUAAAAUCUGAGCAGCAGGUACAACAGACCCAAAACAUGCAA